UGCAGUCGGACGGGAUUGAGGAGCUUGCUUCUCAUGAGAGUGGCGCACGGGUGCGUAACACGUAUGUAACCUACCUUGUUCAGGGGGAUAGCCUCUCGAAAGAGAGAUUAACACCGCAUAAAAUCAAUUUAUGGCAUCAUAGAAUGAUCAAAUAUUUAUAGGAACAAGAUGGGCAUGCGGAACAUUAGCUAGUUGGUAAGGUAACGGCUUACCAAGGCUACGAUGUUUAGGGGAUCUGAGAGGAUGACCCCCCACACUGGUACUGAGACACGGACCAGACUCCUACGGGAGGCAGCAGUAAGGAAUAUUGGUCAAUGGACGCAAGUCUGAACCAGCCAUGCCGCGUGCAGGAAGACGGCCCUACGGGUUGUAAACUGCUUUUGUACCGGAAUAAACCUUUUCACGUGUGAGAAGCUGAAUGUACGGUAAGAAUAAGGAUCGGCUAACUCCGUGCCAGCAGCCGCGGUAAUACGGAGGAUCCAAGCGUUAUCCGGAUUUAUUGGGUUUAAAGGGUGCGUAGGUGGCCUAUUAAGUCAGGGGUGAAAGACGGUAGCUUAACUAUCGCAGUGCCUUUGAUACUGAUGGGCUUGAAUACACUUGAGGUAGGCGGAAUGUGACAAGUAGCGGUGAAAUGCAUAGAUAUGUCACAGAACACCAAUUGCGAAGGCAGCUUACUAAAGUGUUAUUGACACUGAGGCACGAAAGCGUGGGGAUCAAACAGGAUUAGAUACCCUGGUAGUCCACGCCCUAAACGAUGAAUACUCGAUGUUGGCGAUAUACGGUCAGCGUCUAAGCGAAAGCGUUAAGUAUUCCGCCUGGGGAGUACGCCCGCAAGGGUGAAACUCAAAGGAAUUGACGGGGGCCCGCACAAGCGGAGGA
This 879-nucleotide ribosomal RNA is filed under the name uncultured bacterium. Its description in RNAcentral is "bacterial SSU rRNA". It matches the Rfam family "Bacterial small subunit ribosomal RNA", at positions 56 to 936 of the family's 1533-position model. The record is from RNAcentral.